RNAcentral lists this ribosomal RNA (253 nucleotides) under uncultured bacterium. RNAcentral describes it as "partial 16S ribosomal RNA". It matches the Rfam family "Bacterial small subunit ribosomal RNA", at positions 524 to 776 of the family's 1533-position model. The record is from RNAcentral.
UACGUAGGGCGCAAGCGUUAUCCGGAAUUAUUGGGCGUAAAGAGCUCGUAGGCGGUUUGUCGCGUGUGCCGUGAAAGUCCGGGGCUCAACUCCGGAUCUGCGGUGGGUACGGGCAGACUAGAGUGAUGUAGGGGAGACUGGAAUUCCUGGUGUAGCGGUGAAAUGCGCAGAUAUCAGGAGGAACACCGAUGGCGAAGGCAGGUCUCUGGGCAUUAACUGACGCUGAGGAGCGAAAGCAUGGGGAGCGAACAGG